This 301-nucleotide unclassified non-coding RNA is filed under the name Hevea brasiliensis (rubber tree). Lineage: Eukaryota; Viridiplantae; Streptophyta; Magnoliopsida; Malpighiales; Euphorbiaceae. The record is from RNAcentral.
GUGGGAAUGUCCACACAAUUUUCUACCUAAAAAAUUACAUAAAUACAGCUAAACAAAUUUAAAACACAUAUGUAAGUCCUUAUUUAUUAUUGAUGUUGAUGCAUCAUCACAUCCUAUGUUUGAGAAUUGUCUACGUCAUCUUUGUAUCCCUGUAUUAUGUCCAACAUUCCAAGUUGUACCUCAAUCAGCCACUUUAUACGAUGAUUUACUCUCUCUUUAUUCCCAAUGGAAGGGCAAAUUAUCAAAUAAGACUCAUAAGAGCUCCCACCUUCACAGACUUAUGGUACAAACAACAUCUGAU